UGUGUAUUAGCUCUAAGUUCUUUCGGUCCGUUUUUAUGAUUCCCGACUUUGCGUAUUAGCUCAAAGUUCUUUCGGUUCGUUUUUAUGAUCCCCGACUUUGCGUAUUAGCUCUAAGUUCUUUCAGUCCGUUUUUAUGAUCCCCGAUUUUGCGUAUUAUCUCUAAGUUCUUUCGGUCCGUUCUUAUGAUCCCCGACUUUGUGUAUUAGCUCUAAGUUCUUUCGGUCCGUUUUUAUGAUUCCCGACUUUGCGUAUUAGCUCUAAGUUCUUUCGGUCCGUUUUUAUGAUCCCCGACUUUGCGUAUUAGCUCUAAGUUCUUUCAGUCCGUUUUUAUGAUCCCUGAAUUUGCGUACUAGCUCUAAAUUCUUUCAUUCCGUUUUUAUGAUCCCCGACUUUGCGUAUUAGCUCUAAGUUCUUUCGUUCGUUUUUAUGAUCCCCGACUUUGCGAAUUAGCUCUAAGUUCUUUCGGUCUGUUUUUAUGAUCCCCGACUUUGCGUAUAUGCUCUAAGUUCUUUUGGUCGUUUCAUGAUCCCCGACUUUGCGUAUUAGCUCUAAGUUCUUUAGGUCCGUUUUUAUGAUCCCUGACUUUGCGUAUUAGCUCUAAGUUCUUUCGGUCCGUUUUUAUGAUCUCCUACUUUGCGUAUUAGCUCUAAGUUCUUUCAGUCCGUUUUUAUGAUCCCUGAGUUUGCGUAUUAGCUCUAAGUUCUUUCAUUCCGUUUUUAUGAUCCCCGACUUUGCGUAUUAGCUCUAAGUUCUUAUGUUCGCUUUUAUGAUCCCCGACUUUGCGAAUUAGCUCUAAGUUCUUUCGGUCGUUUUUAUGAUCCCCGACUUUGCGUAUUAGCUCUAAGUUCUUUCGGUCGUUUUUAUGAUCCCUGACUUUGCGUAUUAGCUCUAAGUUCUUUCGGUCUGUUUUUAUGAUCCCGGACUUUGCGUAUUAGCUCUAAUUUCUUUCAGUCGGUUUUACGAUCCCCGACUUUGCGUAUUAGCUCUACGUUCUUUUGGUCCGUUUUUAUGAUCCCCGACUUUGCGUAUUAGCUCUAAGUUCUUUCGGUGGUUUU
Molecule: long non-coding RNA, 1055 nt
Filed under: Capsella rubella
Lineage: Eukaryota; Viridiplantae; Streptophyta; Magnoliopsida; Brassicales; Brassicaceae
Description: long non-coding RNA (CRUB_LNC000137)
Source: RNAcentral